CAGCAGACACACAGUAACCUUAAGUAUUUUUUGGUCUCACCUAACAGCUAGGAAAACCCAGGCUACACUUCACUGAGAUCAAUGGAGACAGACCCGUGCAAAGAGGGAAAUAAUGCUUUUAGUAUUUUGGAUGUGUCUAAGGGCUGUGUUUAACCACAGCUGGUUUACCAGACUGUGACUGAACAAGCCUAAUUUUACCUGCUUAGCAUGGUCAGUACAAGUUCCAGUCCCCUGUUAGGCUGUCGGUUCCCCACUGGAUGGCAGUCCCUGCAACCUUAUUCACUCUGGGAAGGAAAGUCCAGCUUUGAAGCAGCAAGCUGAAAUCUCAGACUGCUCUCUAGAUGAAUAUGUACGUGAAAUGCCACAGCUGUAAAAUGAGAAGUUCACUAAGUGUUUUGCCCAAAUAAAGACAGGAAAAAGGUGCCCA
RNAcentral lists this long non-coding RNA (427 nucleotides) under Cyanistes caeruleus (blue tit). RNAcentral describes it as "lncRNA (ENSCCEG00000011869.1)". Lineage: Eukaryota; Metazoa; Chordata; Aves; Passeriformes; Paridae. The record is from RNAcentral.